GUGCUCACUUUGGUGGCACAUAUACUAAAAUUGGAAUGAUACAGGGAAGAUUAGCAGGGCCUCUGCACAA
RNAcentral lists this small nuclear RNA (70 nucleotides) under Cervus elaphus hippelaphus. Lineage: Eukaryota; Metazoa; Chordata; Mammalia; Artiodactyla; Cervidae. The record is from RNAcentral.